RNAcentral lists this small RNA (606 nucleotides) under Pan troglodytes (chimpanzee). Its description in RNAcentral is "processed transcript". Lineage: Eukaryota; Metazoa; Chordata; Mammalia; Primates; Hominidae. The record is from RNAcentral.
GAGGUCUAACUCGGUCUUGAUCCUUGUGCUAAAUCCACGGCAGCAUCAGACAUUGCUGAAUAGCUGGUGCGGGAGGCUGCAGCUGGCCAUGGGGACUGCAGCCCCUGCCUCCGGGGCUCACUCCUGGGCGGCCAGACAGUGGCUAAGGCAGACAGGCAGUUCUUAUGGAGCUUCAGGCUGCCCGGGGAGGCGCAGAAGAUUGAUCGCAUGAUGGAGGCUUUCGCUUCUCGCUACUGCCUGUGCAACCCCGGGGUCUUCCAGUCCACAGACACGUGCUACGUGCUGUCAUUCGCCAUCAUCAUGCUCAACACCAGCCUCCACAACCACAACGUGCGUGACAAGCCCACGGCAGAACGGUUCAUCGCCAUGAACCGCGGCAUCAACGAGGGCGGGGACCUCCCUGAGGAGCUGCUGAGGAAUUUGUAUGAGAGCAUUAAGAACGAGCCGUUUAAGAUCCCGGAGGACGACGGGAACGACCUGACCCACACCUUCUUCAACCCCGACCGCGAGGGCUGGCUCCUGAAGCUGGGAGGGCGUGUGAAGACCUGGAAGCGCCGGUGGUUCAUCUUGACCGAUAACUGCCUCUAUUACUUUGAAUACACAACA